GAUGAACGCUGGCGGCGUGCCUAAUACAUGCAAGUCGAGCGAACAGACGAGGAUCUUGCUCCUCUGACGUUAGCGGCGGACGGGUGAGUAACACGUGGAUAACCUACCUAUAAGACUGGGAUAAGUUCGGGAAACCGGAGCUAAUACCGGAUAAUAUAUUGAACCGCAUGGUUCAAUAGUGAAAGACGGUUUUGCUGUCACUUAUAGAUGGAUCCGCGCCGCAUUAGAUAGUUGGUAAGGUAACGGCUUACCAAGGCGACGAUGCGUAGCCGACCUGAGAGGGUGAUCGGCCACACCGGAACCGAGACACGGUCCCGACUCCUACGGGAGGCAGCAGUAGGGAAUCUUCCGCAAUGGGCGAAAGCCUGGCGGAGCACCGCCGCGUGAGUGAUGAAGGUCUUCGGAUCGUAAAACUCUGUUAUUAGGGAAGAACAAAUGUGUAAGUAACUAUGCACGUCUUGACGGUACCUAAUCAGAAAGCCACGGCUAACUACGUG
Molecule: ribosomal RNA, 497 nt
Filed under: uncultured bacterium
Lineage: Bacteria
Description: partial 16S ribosomal RNA
Rfam family: Bacterial small subunit ribosomal RNA
Source: RNAcentral